RNAcentral lists this transfer RNA (68 nucleotides) under Marmota monax (woodchuck). RNAcentral describes it as "tRNA.Met". Lineage: Eukaryota; Metazoa; Chordata; Mammalia; Rodentia; Sciuridae. The record is from RNAcentral.
GGAUUGUGGCUCAGUGGCAGAGUGCUUGCCUCAUGUGUGUGAGGCACUGGGUUCGAUACUCAGCACCA